This 6370-nucleotide long non-coding RNA is filed under the name Citrus x clementina. RNAcentral describes it as "Citrus clementina (C. clementina) long non-coding RNA (CCLE_LNC005080)". Lineage: Eukaryota; Viridiplantae; Streptophyta; Magnoliopsida; Sapindales; Rutaceae. The record is from RNAcentral.
ACGAAGUGGGCCAGCCCCACCCCCCAAGGCUAUAGCCCACCCGUUUUUGUGGCCUUUUUCCGCUGGACGAACUUGGCACCCCGGCCUUCGGGCUCUUAUUUUUGGGCGCGGCUUUGUCCGCGUCCUAUUUUUGGCACACGGAGGCCGCUCACAAACUCUCGCGGCAUUCCGAGUCAGGCUGACGAAGUGGGCCACCCCCACCCCCCAAGGCUAUAGCCCACCCGUUUUUGUGGCCUUUUUCCGCUGGACGAACGUGGCGCCCCGGCCUUCGGGCAGUUAUUUUUGGGUACGGCUGUGCCCGUGGCCUAUUUUUGGCACACGGAGGCCGCUUGCAAAGUCUCGCGGCAUUCCGAGUCAGGCUGACGAAGUGGGCGAGCCCCACCCCCCAAGGCUAUAGCCCACCCGUUUUUGUGGCCUUUUUCCGCUGGACGAACUUGGCACCCCGGCCUUCGGGCUGUUAUUUUUGGGCGCGGCUUUGUCCGCGUCCUAUUUUUGGCACACGGAGGCCGCUCACAAAGUCUCGCGGCAUUCCGAGUCAGGCUGACGAAGUGGGCCACCCCCACCCCCCAAGGCUAUAGCCCACCCGUUUUUGUGGCCUUUUUCCGCUGGACGAAUGUGGCGCCCCGGCCUUCGGGCAGUUAUUUUUGGGUACGGCUGUGCUCGCGGCCUAUUUUUGGCACACGGAGGCGCCUCGCAAAGUUUCGCGCCAUUCCGAGUCCGGCGGACGAAGUUGGCCAGCCCCACCACCCAAGGCUAUAUGUUACAGCCCGGUUUGUUCCCACGCUAUGCCGUGCGGCCUUAGGUGCCAAAUUCACACUCUCGUGGCCCUAAGUCAGCCUUACACCCAAAUCCGUUGCUGGAUUCGAGAACCAGAAAGAGGAUUCACUCUAACUCAAUAAGGAUGGGAGAAAAUAACAGAUAUUGCUCGAUUGAAUGCUUACAAAGCCAUGUGUGCUGGAAUUGUAUAUUGCUUCUUAUUCAUUUGGCCAAAUGAGGCCCUCUUCUAUUGAUAGAGUACAAGGAAGUAUCUAGAGAGUCUCUAGAGUUAUCACAACUACCACCUAAGCACAUUAAUUACAUAGGAAAUAUCUACAUGCUCUACACAAGUCUCCAUAGCUCUAGAAUUCUCCAUGGGCCAGGCCAUGUGGAGGCUUGGGCCAUGACAUUCUCCCCCACCUAUUCCGAAGACAUCCUCGUCGACUCACUGUGGAAGGCUUUGAUCUUGUCUUGGAACUGCCACAAAUCGUUUGCGGCCUCCCAACUUGUUUCGCUCUCGGGUAGUCCCUUCCAUUUGACUAAGUACUCUUGGCACGGCGGAAAACUCUUCUUCUGAACGACACGGUCCGCCAAAAUGGUCUCCACUUCCUUGUCAUAUACCCUUGUGUUGCCGAGUGGAGGGCGCUUGGAUUCAUCCCUUUUCGGAUCUUCCGUAUCCCCAUGGUAUGGCUUCAGGGAACUCACAUGGAAGACCGGAUGAGUUUUCGCCAAGAGGGUAACUCUAGCUUGUACGACACACUGCCGACCCUCUUGAUGAUGGGAAAUGGUCCCUUCGUAUUUCCGAUGAGGCCCUUGUGCAGUGAACGUGUAGACUUGUGCUGGGCCGGAACGAUCUUGACUAGCACCAUGUCCCCCACGUUGAACUCCAAGUGUCUACGCUUGCUGUCCGCCCAUUUCUUCAUCCGCUUGGUUGCUUUGUCUAGGUGCGCCCGUGCUAUGUCCGUUUGCUCAUGCCACGACUUAGCCACUUUAUAUGCUGCAGGACACCUCCCGGUAUAGCUCGUGAUGAGCGUGUUUGGCGUAAGCGGCUGCUGUCCCAUGAUCACCUCAAAAGGGCUCCUCGAUGUAGCCUCGCUCCGCUGCAAGUUGUAGGAAAAUUGUGCCACGUCCAGCAACUUUGCACAAUCAUGCUGGUUGGCACUCACAAAAUGCCGCAAGUACAGCUCCAACAAGGCAUUCACCCUCUCCGUUUGCCCAUCGGUUUGUGGAUGAAAGCUCGUAGAAAAGUGCAGCGCCGACCCCAUAAGCUUGAACAACUCAGUCCAAAACUUGCCCGUAAACCGGCUGUCACGGUCGCUAAUGAUGGAUUUGGGAAGUCCCCAAUACUUCACCACGUGCCUAAAGAAAAGCUUGGCUGUGUCCUCCACUGUGCACUCCUUCGGGGCGGGAAUGGAAGUGGCAUAUUUCGAGAAUCUGUCCACCACUACAACAAUAGUUGCAAACCCCUCCGAUUUGGGAAGACAAGUGAUGAAAUCCAUCGAUAUACUCUCCCACGGUCGAUCCGGAGUGGGCAGUGGCUCAAGCAACCCCGCGGGACAUUGUUGCUCUGUUGUGUCCCGGGUGUCCAGCCCACUUCGUAUCAUGACACUCCUUGAUCAAGUUCCGCCGCAAGUUUCCCCACUUCGGAACAUAAACACGCCGUCCCUUGGUGUAUAAAAGGCCAUCUUCGACCCAAAACCUCUUCGAUUUCCCCUGUUGCACGAGAGAAACCAGCUGCUUGGCCAAGGAAUCAUGCUCCAUUCCCUCGUUGAUGAGUGCAAGAAGCUCUCCUUGUAUCCGACUUAUGGCAGCAAGCUCGGCCUUCCGACUCAAGGCGUCCACUACCAAAUUAGCCUUUCCGGGCUUAUACUCCAGCACGUAGUCGAAUUCGGCCAAGAAAUCUUGCCAUCUCGCUUGCUUCGGACUAAGCUUCUUUUGGCUUUGGAAGUAACUAGUGGCCACGUUGUCUGUCUUCACCACGAACUUGGACCCAAGCAAGUAGUGCCUCCAUGUGCGCAAGCAGUGCACUACCGCCGUCAUCUCUUUCUCUUGUACCGUGUACCGCCGCUCCGUAUCGUUGAGCUUUCGGCUCUCAAAGGCUAUCGGAUGUUCGGCCUGCAUCAACACCCCACCAAUAACAAAAUCGGAAGCAUCAGUGUGUACCUCAAAUGGUAAGUCAUGGUUCGGCAGCACAAGUACCGGCUCUUCCAUCACAGCCUUCUUGAGGGCAUCGAAGGCUUGCUGGCUCCUUUCCGUCCAUUCCCACUUGGUAGUCUUUUUGAGCAAAUCAGUGAGUGGUGCGGCAAUGGCGGAAUAACCUCUAAUGAACCUCCGAUAAUAGUUGGCAAGGCCUAAGAAAGAGCGCAACUCAGUCACCUUUGUGGGCGGCUCCCAUUCGGCAAUGGCUCAGACCUUGGCCUUGUCCAUGAGCAGCGUCCCAUCUCUGAUUUUAUGGCCAAGAAAAUCCACCUCCAGUUUUGCGAACGAACACUUCUCCCUCUUCACAUACAGCUCAUUUUCCCGCAACACCCCGAACACGACCCGCAAGUGCUCAGCAUGUUCCGCCAAGGUGUUGCUAUAGACUACGAUGUCAUCGAGAUACACCACCACAAACUGAUCAAGGUAUGGCUGGAAUAUGCGGUUCAUGAGCGUGCAAAAUGUGGCUGGAGCAUUGGUGAGGCCGAAAGGCAUUACCUUGAACUCGUACGCUCCAUACCUCGUCACACAAGCGGUCUUCGGCUCAUCUCCCUCCGCAAUCCGUACUUGGUAAUAUCCCGAUCUAAGGUCCAGCUUGGAGAAAUAUUUGGCCCGUCCAAGUUGAUCGAACAAGUCCGUGGGAUGGGGUAUUUGUUCUUCACGGUCACCUUGUUAAGAGCCCGGUAGUCGAUACAUAGUCGAAGUGAGCCAUCAUGCUUCUGCUGGAACAGCACCGGUGCUCCGUAUGGUGCUUUCGAGGGCUGGAUGUAUCCUGCGUCCAGCAGCUCCUUAAUUUGCCUCCGCAACUCCUCUAGCUCCGGUGGAGACAUGCGGUAAGGUGCUCGUGCAGGCGGUUUGGCACCCGGCUCCAGCUCAAUCUUGUGGUCUACUUCCCUUCGUGGCGGCAACCGCUUUGGCAACUCGGGUGGCAUUACGUCCUCAUACGCCUCAAGGACUUGGCCUACCGCCUCCGGUAUGGGCUCCAUGGCCAUAGUGUCCUUCCCGUCACCGACCUCAUGAAUGGUGGCGAGAAAUGUGUCCUCAUGCCGCUUGCAACCUUUGCUGAUUUGCAUGGCGGAAAGUUGGCCUGGUGGUGUGACCUUACUCGCGGUCGGGACCAAGCAUGGGGCUCCCUCUAGGAUACACAUUGAGUUGUACCUCAGAAGUGGCAACGCAUUGAACUGUCGCAAAAAUUCCAUGCCUAAAACAAGUGUAAAAUCAUCCAAAGGUACAACCGAGAAAUUGGCCUUACCUCGCCAAGGGUCUAGGUGUAGCUCCACAUCUCGCGCUACCCCGCUAAGUGGUUUGGCCUCCGAAUUCACCGUCUUGAGCCAGCCAUCCGAUUUCUCAACCUUGAGUCCAAGCCGCUUGGCUUCAUCCACCUUGAUGAAGUUGUGGGACGCUCCCGUGUCAAUCAAGGCUUGGGCUCGCUUUCCGUUGAUCGUAGCCUCAACGUGCAUGAGCGACUUGUCCUGCACCUUGGCUGGAAUUGGCUUGGCAUUAGCGCAUUGAAAAUUUGGAGACAACCCAUGUUGGCGGCAUCCGCUGGUGGUGCCUCCGGUUGCUUCUCCCCGGUCUCGCUAAACAUGGCGUUGAAAGCCUUCUUCUUUGGGCAGUCCCGCACCCAAUGGUCCCCAUCGCAAAGGAAGCAAUUGUGUUUCCGCUUAGCCUCCUUCUUGCCAUCCUUUGAACCAUCCUUCGGGCCAUCCUUCUUUUGUGGCUUAUCCUUGCCAUCAUGGUGCCUUUGCCAUGUUGCGGCUUAUCAUCCUUCUUCGGCUUGGAAGACUCACCCUUCCGGAAUUCCACAAGCGUGUCAGCCUCGGUGAGGGCUGUAGAGAUGUCAUUCACUUGGCGCCGCUGCAACUCCCGUUGUGCCCACGGCUGGAGUCCCUCCAUGAAGUUGAACAGCAAAUCAUCUGUGUUCAUGUUGUCGAUUUGGAGCAUGAGCUUCGAGAAUUCAUCGGCAUACUUUGAGAUAGGCCCCGUGUGCUUCAGCUCCCGCAUCUUCUUACGAGCCUCAUAUGUCACAUUCCCUGGAUAGAAUUGCCUCUUGAGCUCGCACUUCAGCAAGUCCCAUGUGUUGAUGAUGCACGUCCCACGCACAAUCUCUGCAUGCUUCCGCUGCCACCAAGCGGUCGCGUGAUCCUCAAGGUACUCGGUCGCAAUGUUCACCUUCUCUUGCUCACCUUGGAUGUUGGUGGCCUCGAAGUACCUCUCCAUGGACCACAAGAAGUUCUCGAUCUCCUGGGCAUCCCGCUUGCCCCCGUACCUCCUUGGCCUCGGAACCUCGACCCUCAUUGGAGGUGCGGCAUUGGUGUUGAGCACCCCACUGGCCACCGCCUUCUUGCAAAGCGCCCAAUCCAUCUUAGUCUCUUCAAGGCCCGUGUGAAGCUCCUCCACUUGAGCCCUUAGCGCCUCAAUAGAGUUCAGAACCACCGCUUGGAACUCCUCAAGGCUUUGGCGUUGCGCCACCACAUCUUGGCUUAGAUCGCCCAUCCGCUCACCAAGAUCAUCCACCUCCUCCAUCUUUUGCUCAAAGAUCUCGAGGCGUUCUUUAAUCUCGGCGACAGCAAUCUCCCCACGGACAACCCGAUUCUCCAUGGCGUUGAGCAAGUCCACUGACUUCUCCUUGCUGUUUUUCCCCUUUUUCGCAUUGGGGUUAGGCUCCCUCCCCCUUUGGUCAUCAUGAGUGCUCUCCGACAUCCUUCCUUUCGAACAACGCAACUACCCACGAGUGUAGAUGGCUCUGAUACCAACUGUCACGGCCCGGUUUGUUCCCACGCUAUGCCGUGCAGCCUUAGGCGCCAAAUUCGCACUCUCUUGGCCCUAAGUCAGCCUUACACCCAAAUCCGUUGCUGGAUUCGAGAACCAGAAAGAGGAUUCACUCUAACUCAAUAAGGAUGGGAGAAAAUAACAGAUAUUGCUCGAUAGAAUGCUUACAAAGCCAUGUGUGCUGGAAUUGUAAAUUGCUUCUUAUUCAUUUGGCCAAAUGAGGCCCUCUUCUAUUGAUAGAGUACAAGGAAGUAUCUAGAGAGUCUCUAGAGUUAACACAACUACCACCUAAGCACAUUAAUUACAUAGGAAAUAUCUACAUGCUCUACACAAGUCUCCAUAGCUAUAGAUUUCUCCAUGGGCCAGGCCAUGUGGAGGCUUAGGCCAUGACAUAUAGCCCACUCGUUUUUAUGGCCUUUUUCCGCUGGACGAACUUGGCGCCCCGGCCUUCGGGCGGUUAUUUUUGGGCGCGGCUGUGCCCGCGGCCUAUAUUUGGCACACGGAGGCGCCUCGCAAAGUCUCGCGCCAUUCCGAGUCCGGCGGACGAAGUUGGCCAGCCCCACCCCCCAAGGCUAUAGCCCACCCGUUUUUGUGGCCUUCUUCUGCUGGACGAACUCGGCGCCCCGGCCUUCGGGCGGUUAUUUUU